AUGGAUGCCCCGCGGGCUGCCCGGCCCUCCAGCCAUCCCUCCCUGCUCCAGUUCCUCAGGAGCCUCCUUGGGUACCCGCGGAGCUCCCUGGGGGCACGGGAGCCCCGAGCAGAGCAGCAGGAGCAGGGUGCUGCUGUGAGGCCCCGCAGACUGCAGGCAGAGCGGGUUGAGCCCUCCCAUGGGGAGAUCCUGUGCCAGGAGUGCUGCAAGGAUGAGGAGGGGGACAGUGCAGAGCUGCUGCUGGGGGAGCUGCAGGAAGUCAGCCUGCAGGGAUCGCUGGGCAGCAGCACCAGCAGGAGCUGCCUGACCACCAGCACCAGUGACGUGGAGCCGGCGGCAGUGGGUGAUGGGAUGGAGGCUCCUGGCGGCACCGUGGCCCCGCAGAGCAGUGGGGCAGCUGGCGAGGAGGGGGCGGCUGCAGAUGAAGCCGUCGUUGGCAGAGCUCUGGUGAUGGAUGAGUUCCUUCAAGGUCUGGGUGCUGCUGAUGAAGACACCUGCUCUGCAAGCCCUGAGCCAAUGUUUUCGAUGGACCUUGACACUGAAUGGGAGAAAGAGCAGCUCCUGAAAGCAAAUCAGGGUGCAGGAUCCCCGAAAGCAGAGCUGUCCCUGUGGAACAAGUUCAUCGGCAUGAACAUACACCAGUGGACUGCGCAUAAGCCUCGUGCCUCGAGGAGCUCGAUGGAGCUGGAAAGCGAAGAGGAGCCGCUUCUGCGGGCAGCCGAGAACAGCCCCACGAGCCGCGAGCUGCCCGUCCUGCCCGCAGAACCCUCCGCAGCGCUGCCGAUGUACAGGUUUUCCAAAAGCAGAGCAGCUGCUGGUGGCUUUGGGAGAAGCCAGGCAGAGCUGGGAGCAAACGGAGCAGGAACGCCUGGAGAAGGCUGAGAUGCAGCACCCGCAGAGGUGGCAGAAGCCCCGCGGAGCCGCACUGCAGCUGUCCCGCAGGAGACAUCAGCGCUUCCCCUCUGCUGUGCCCGACCUGCCCAGGAGCCCCGUGCUCCACUUUCCUCCUCUUCUUUCCCUCAUGUUUGUCAUUUGUGUGCACGCCACAUUUUCUUUCUGCUUUCUCCCUUUCCUGUUCCUUGGAGAAGGACCCGUGUGUCUCACUGCGCUGAUGGGAUGGACAGGUUGGUUUGAGUUGGCUUCGAUUAAACAUUUUGUGUCAGUGAGCUCUUCUUGCUUCUCCCUCCGCGCUCUCAAGUUCCCUUAUUAAACAGUUCUCUGUUGAAUUCAUUGUUCUCCUUUCUUUCUUUCCCUCCGCCUUCCAGUUUUUCUUUCACAUCUUCCACAUUGUUCUCCGUGGUUUUUAAGGUGUUUAUGGAUUAAUUUUUUAAUUUGGAGGUAAGAAGAGGCAAGGCUGCCUCCAUUGCCCCCCGCUGCAAAGGAGAGGUGGGAUCCUUCAGCCCAUGGUGGUCUGCUGGUGGUUAACAGUAGCAACCUUCUAUGGGGUGUUGGAGGCGGCUGGCGGACCCCUGCCCUGUGCAGAGAAAUGUCACUCAGCUCUUCAUCUUCCAUUUGAGUACAUGGGAGAAACCAUGUGAGCAGGGCUGGAGGAGCUGCUGGCAGCCCGGCUCCUGCUAAUCUGGGAAUUGUAUGCCAGGAAGCACACACCCAGCCGACCUGCCCCAGACAAAGCCCGCCGUGUCCGCACCGGCUCUCCAGGCGUUCCCUCCACGCCUCGGGGUUAUUUCAGAGUUCUCCCAGCAUGGGAUCCCUCCCCGGACUUCCACCUGCGUUGGCUGUGGGGCAGGAGCGCAUUGCUCCCGGCACGGCUCAGAUGCUCUCCUGCUGCAAAAUGGGGCCGUGCCAUCUAAACUCUCCUGGCCGACCUGAAACAACAGUGGUGAGAGGGGAAUCCCCUCCUUUCUCAUCUUGGAGGAGUUCACUCUGGACCCUAACCUUGGCAAAUUAACCAGGGUCACCGUUACUUUCUUGCUAGAUUCGUUGAGUGGAGCUGUUGUGUCAAUAGACGCAUCCCACAUCGCCUCCCUGGGUCCCAAAACUCUGCGUCCUUGAUGUGUCCUUAGAAACCUUGAGCUCCAAAUAAACUUCUGCGGGAUUUCCCGUUGAAAAGGGCU
Long non-coding RNA from Numida meleagris (helmeted guineafowl), 2075 nucleotides. Lineage: Eukaryota; Metazoa; Chordata; Aves; Galliformes; Numididae. The record is from Ensembl.